This 253-nucleotide ribosomal RNA is filed under the name uncultured bacterium. RNAcentral describes it as "partial 16S ribosomal RNA". It matches the Rfam family "Bacterial small subunit ribosomal RNA", at positions 524 to 776 of the family's 1533-position model. The record is from RNAcentral.
UACGAAGGGGGCGAGCGUUGUUCGGAAUUAUUGGGCGUAAAGAGCUCGUAGGCGGUUUGUCACGUCUGCUGUGAAAUCCCGAGGCUCAACCUCGGGCCUGCAGUGGGUACGGGCAGACUGGAGUGCGGUAGGGGAGAAUGGAAUUCCUGGUGUAGCGGUGGAAUGCGCAGAUAUCAGGAGGAACACCGGUGGCGAAGGCGGGUCUCUGGGCCGAAACUGACGCUGAGGAGCGAAAGCGUGGGGAGCAAACAGG